ACGGGGGGGGCAAGCGUUGUUCGGAAUUACUGGGCGUAAAGGGCUCGUAGGCGGCCAACUAAGUCAGACGUGAAAUCCCCAGGCUUAACCUGGGAACUGCAUUCGAGACUGCAUUGCUAGAGUAUGGGAGAGGGAAGUGGAAUUUCCGGUGUAGCGGUGAAAUGCGUAGAUAUCGGAAGGAACAUCAGUGGCGAAAGCGACUUCCUGGACCAAUACUGACGCUCAUGUGCGAAAGCGUGGGGAGCAAACAGGA
RNAcentral lists this ribosomal RNA (253 nucleotides) under uncultured prokaryote. RNAcentral describes it as "partial 16S ribosomal RNA". It matches the Rfam family "Bacterial small subunit ribosomal RNA", at positions 525 to 777 of the family's 1533-position model. The record is from RNAcentral.